GGUAACCUACCUAUAAGACUGGGAUAACUUCGGGAAACCGGAGCUAAUACCGGAUAACAUUUGGAACCGCAUGGUUCUAAAGUGAAAGAUGGUUUUGCUAUCACUUAUAGAUGGACCCGCGCCGUAUUAGCUAGUUGGUAAGGUAACGGCUUACCAAGGCGACGAUACGUAGCCGACCUGAGAGGGUGAUCGGCCACACUGGAACUGAGACACGGUCCAGACUCCUACGGGAGGCAGCAGUAGGGAAUCUUCCGCAAUGGGCGAAAGCCUGACGGAGCAACGCCGCGUGAGUGAUGAAGGGUUUCGGCUCGUAAAUACUCUGUUAUUAGGGAAGAACAAACGUGUAAGUAACUGUGCACGUGCUUGUACGGUACNNANNCAGAAAGGGUUCGGCCUAAAAA
RNAcentral lists this ribosomal RNA (401 nucleotides) under Staphylococcus saprophyticus. Its description in RNAcentral is "bacterial SSU rRNA". It matches the Rfam family "Bacterial small subunit ribosomal RNA", at positions 120 to 503 of the family's 1533-position model. The record is from RNAcentral. Lineage: Bacteria; Bacillati; Bacillota; Bacilli; Caryophanales; Staphylococcaceae.